Molecule: small nuclear RNA, 269 nt
Filed under: Octodon degus (degu)
Lineage: Eukaryota; Metazoa; Chordata; Mammalia; Rodentia; Octodontidae
Description: 7SK RNA (ENSODEG00000023045.1)
Rfam family: 7SK RNA
About the family: 7SK was discovered as an abundant small nuclear RNA in the mid-70s but a possible function has only recently been suggested. Two independent studies have found that 7SK RNA binds the CDK9/cyclin T complex (known as elongation factor P-TEFb).
Source: RNAcentral
GGAUAUGAGGAUGAUCUGACUGCAACAUCCAACUCCCCAGUGAUCUCCAGAGUUGAUUUGACUGAUCUGGCUGACUAGGUGGGUGACCCGUCCUCUCUCACUGUUCCCAAAGCUGCAAACGUGAUCAAAGGACAAUCAUCCCAGAUAGAGGAGGACAGUUUCUUCUGUCAAAGGUAUAUGAGUAGCUGAACUUGCUUGCUAGGACCUCCAAACAAGCUCUCAAAAGUUCAAGGCCAGGCCAGGGAAUGGCUCAGUGGAAUAAGCGCUUC